AGACUGUGAAAAGAACGUUGAGAACAUCACCACUCUACAGGAAGACACAGUCCAGUAAUGGGUGUCAGAAGUUCAGUAGUGAACGACAGAAACAAACAAUCCAAAUUACCUGCAGAAAGCCCUUGAUGGACGCUUCAGCUGCAUCGUCAGACUGGCAGUACUGAUGCAUUUACUGAGAGGGGACGUGAGGGCCUACUCUGCGUGCUCAGAGUUCAAGCCCAGCAGGCUGCAGCGGGCCUGACAUAUUCUGGAACAGCAGCACAGUCUUUGGAUGACUCCUCUGAAGAUGAAAACAUGGCGAGUUCUUCUCAAGAGAAGCAGUACAGGUGUGCCUCAGCUCCACGGUCCCUCCUGCAGCCUCCGCUCCUGAUGCUAACCUCAUGUCUCCAUCACACCAAGCAGCAGACCUGGAUUGACAGACCUUUCUCCAGAGCUGCCCCCUCCCUCUGAAACCCCCCUCUCCAAAACACUAUUUGUGUAGUUUUUAAAGUAUUUUUUGCAUGAGAAUUGUUGAUCAUAACAUUUCCAGCAGAUGCCUUAAUAUAAUGUUUGUGCACAAUAAAUGACAUUGA
Pleuronectes platessa (European plaice) is the source of this 572-nucleotide long non-coding RNA. RefSeq lists it as uncharacterized. The transcript has 4 exons. The record is from RefSeq and is a predicted model, not a curated record. NCBI's taxonomy places the organism in Eukaryota, Metazoa, Chordata, Actinopteri, Pleuronectiformes, Pleuronectidae.